AGAGUUGAUCCUGGCUAGGACGAACGCUGGCGGCGUGCUAACACAUGCAAGUCGAACGAGAAUCAUCGGAAGGAGUAUUCGUACAACGGAAGGUGAGGACAGUGGCGGACGGGUGAGUAACGCGUGAGGAACCUGCCUUUCAGAGGGGGACAACAGUUGGAAACGACUGCUAAUACCGCAUAACGCAUUGUUGUCGCAUGGUGACGAUGCCAAAGAUUUAUCGCUGAAAGAUGGCCUCGCGUCUGAUUAGCUUGUUGGUGAGGUAACGGCCCACCAAGGCGACGAUCAGUAGCCGGACUGAGAGGUUGGCCGGCCACAUUGGGACUGAGAUACGGCCCAGACUCCUACGGGAGGCAGCAGUGGGGAAUAUUGGGCAAUGGGCGCAAGCCCUGACCCAGCAACGCCGCGUGAAGGAAGAAGGCUUUCGGGUUGUAAACUUCUUUUGUCGGGGACGAGCAGAAGACGGUACCUGACGAAUAAGCCACGGCUAACUACGUGCCAGCAGCAGC
RNAcentral lists this ribosomal RNA (509 nucleotides) under uncultured bacterium. Its description in RNAcentral is "bacterial SSU rRNA". It matches the Rfam family "Bacterial small subunit ribosomal RNA", at positions 9 to 518 of the family's 1533-position model. The record is from RNAcentral.